AUUGAACGCUGGCGGCAGGCCUAACACAUGCAAGUCGAGCGAGCGGCGGACGGGUGAGUAAUGUCUGGGAAACUGCAUGAUGGAGGGGGAUAACUACUGGAAACGGUAGAUAAUACCGCAUACCAUCAGAUGUGCCCAGAUGGGGUUGGCUGUUAGGGGGGGUAACGGCUCACCAAGGCGACGAUCACUAGCUGGUCUGAGAUGAUGACCAGCCACACUGGAACUGAGACACGGUCCAGACUCCUACGGGAGGCAGCAGUGGGGAAUAUUGCACAAUGGGCGCAAGCCUGAUGCAGCCAUGCCGCGUGGGUGAAGAAGGCCUUCGGGUUGUAAAGCACUUUCAGCGGGGAGGCGUUACCCGCAGAAGAAGCACCGGCUAACUCCGUGCCAGCAGCCGCGGUAAUAC
RNAcentral lists this ribosomal RNA (406 nucleotides) under uncultured bacterium. RNAcentral's name for it is "partial 16S ribosomal RNA". It matches the Rfam family "Bacterial small subunit ribosomal RNA", at positions 29 to 526 of the family's 1533-position model. The record is from RNAcentral.